Molecule: microRNA, 24 nt
Filed under: Zea mays
Lineage: Eukaryota; Viridiplantae; Streptophyta; Magnoliopsida; Poales; Poaceae
Description: microRNA miR-3055
Source: RNAcentral
AUAUGUUGAGGUAGAUUGAGGUGU